GAUGAAGAACGCAGCGAAAUGCGAUACGUAAUGUGAAUUGCAGAAUUCAGUGAAUCAUCGAGUCUUUGAACGCACAUUGCGCCCCCUGGUAUUCCGGGGGGCAUGCCUGUCCGUGCGUCAUUGCUGCCCUCAAGCACGGCUUGUGUGUUGGGCCUCCGUCCUCCUCCCGGGGGACGGGCCCGAAAGGCAGCGGCGGCACCGCGUCCGGUCCUCGAGCGUAUGGGGCUUCGUCACCCGCUCUUGUAGGCCCGGCCGGCGCUUGCCGACACAUCAAUCUUUUUUCUAGGUUGACCUCGGAUCAGGUAGGGAUACCCGCUGAACUUAAGCAUAUCAAUAAGCGGAGGA
Molecule: unclassified non-coding RNA, 345 nt
Filed under: soil metagenome
Description: partial contains 5.8S ribosomal RNA, internal transcribed spacer 2, and large subunit ribosomal RNA
Rfam family: 5.8S ribosomal RNA (bases 1-120)
Source: RNAcentral